ACUCCUAUGGGAGGCAGCAGUAGGGGAAUCUUCCACAAUGGGCGAAAGCCUGAUGGAGCAACGCCGCGUGGGUGAAGAAGGUCUUCGGAUCGUAAAACCCUGUUGUUAGAGAAGAAAGUGCGUGAGAGUAACUGUUCACGUUUCGACGGUAUCUAACCAGAAAGCCACGGCUAACUACGUGCCAGCAGCCGCGGUAAUACGUAGGUGGCAAGCGUUAUCCGGAUUUAUUGGGGCGUAAAGGGAACGCAGGCGGUCUUUUAAGUCUGAUGUGAAAGCCUUCGGCUUAACCGGAGUAGUGCAUUGGAAACUGGGAGACUUGAGUGCAGAAGAGGAGAGUGGAACUCCAUGUGUAGCGGUGAAAUGCGUAGAUAUAUGGAAGAACACCAGUGGCGAAAGCGGCUCUCUGGUCUGUAACUGACGCUGAGGUUCGAAAGCGUGGGUAGCAAACAGGAUUAGAUACCCUGGUAGGAUAGCG
RNAcentral lists this ribosomal RNA (475 nucleotides) under uncultured bacterium. RNAcentral's name for it is "bacterial SSU rRNA". It matches the Rfam family "Bacterial small subunit ribosomal RNA", at positions 335 to 799 of the family's 1533-position model. The record is from RNAcentral.